AUAGUUGCUACAAGUCUAAAUAU
Molecule: small nuclear RNA, 23 nt
Filed under: Arabidopsis thaliana (thale cress)
Lineage: Eukaryota; Viridiplantae; Streptophyta; Magnoliopsida; Brassicales; Brassicaceae
Description: snRNA_18321
Source: RNAcentral